AUUUAGUUGACGAGUCCUGAGUAGGACGAAACGCACAUCCUGAAU
This 45-nucleotide non-coding RNA is filed under the name Schistosoma mansoni. Lineage: Eukaryota; Metazoa; Platyhelminthes; Trematoda; Strigeidida; Schistosomatidae. The record is from RNAcentral.